ACACGCCGCGUGAGGGAUCAGGCCUCUGGGCUGUAAACCUCUUUUCUCAAGGAAGAAGAUCUGACGGUACUUGAGGAAUAAGCCACGGCUAAUUCCGUGCCAGCAGCCGCGGUAAUACGGGAGUGGCAAGCGUUAUCCGGAAUUAUUGGGCGUAAAGCGUCCGCAGGCGGCCUUUCAAGUCUGCUGUUAAAAAGUGGAGCUUAACUCCACCAUGGCAGUGGAAACUGUUGGGCUUGAGUGUGGUAGGGGCAGAGGGAAUUCCCGGUGUAGCGGUGAAAUGCGUAGAUAUCGGGAAGAACACCAGUGGCGAAAGCGCUCUGCUGGGCCAUAACUGACGCUCAUGGACGAAAGCCAGGGGAGCGAAAGGGAUUAGAUACCCCUGUAGUC
RNAcentral lists this ribosomal RNA (387 nucleotides) under uncultured cyanobacterium. RNAcentral describes it as "bacterial SSU rRNA". It matches the Rfam family "Bacterial small subunit ribosomal RNA", at positions 392 to 795 of the family's 1533-position model. Lineage: Bacteria; Bacillati; Cyanobacteriota. The record is from RNAcentral.